RNAcentral lists this ribosomal RNA (497 nucleotides) under uncultured bacterium. RNAcentral's name for it is "partial 16S ribosomal RNA". It matches the Rfam family "Bacterial small subunit ribosomal RNA", at positions 28 to 507 of the family's 1533-position model. The record is from RNAcentral.
GAUGAACGCUGGCGGCGUGCCUAAUACAUGCCAGUCGAGCGAACGGACGAGAAGCUUGCUUCUCUGAUGUUAGCGGCGGACGGGUGAGUAACACGUGGAUAACCUACCUAUAAGACUGGGAUAACUUCGGGAAACCGGAGCUAAUACCGGAUAAUAUUUUGAACCGCAUGGUUCAAAAGUGAAAGACGGUCUUGCUGUCACUUAUAGAUGGAUCCGCGCUGCAUUAGCUAGUUGGUAAGGUAACGGCUUACCAAGGCAACGAUGCAUAGCCGACCUGAGAGGGUGAUCGGCCACACUGGAACUGAGACACGGUCCAGACUCCUACGGGAGGCAGCAGUAGGGAAUCUUCCGCAAUGGGCGAAAGCCUGACGGAGCAACGCCGCGUGAGUGAUGAAGGUCUUCGGAUCGUAAAACUCUGUUAUUAGUGAAGAACAUAUGUGUAAGUAACUGUGCACAUCUUGACGGUACCUAAUCAGAAAGCCACGGCUAACUACGUG